CCUUCUCUCUUGCACGGGCUGUGCCUGAUUGCGACAAUGCAACCAAAGGUGGCACGACGCCUUCUUGAAGAACCAGGGUGCAAAACCUGUUACUGUUUGUGCAGAGUUGUAGC
This 113-nucleotide small RNA is filed under the name Oryza sativa Japonica Group (Japanese rice). RNAcentral describes it as "sRNA Os01g0884450". Lineage: Eukaryota; Viridiplantae; Streptophyta; Magnoliopsida; Poales; Poaceae. The record is from RNAcentral.